AAGCGGAAGGCGGGAGCCGCGCUGUCUUUUCGUCGCGUCGCUCGGCGGGAUGAGGGGCGGCAGCGGGCGGCUCGCUCCGUCCCGGGGUGAGGGGGGGAAGCGAGCGCCUCCGGUCCUCUCGGUGCCGGUCGAGGAGAGCCAUUCUGGGCAGGGCCCGUGCCGCCCCGACCGCCGGCCGCUCGCCCCGGCCUCCCUUUCCCGCGCCAUGUUGCAGCGAAGCUCUUUCAGGGCGGGCCUUGAUGGCGGCGGCGGGUUUCGCUGCUCCUCGUCUCCCCCGUCGCUGAACACGGGAAGGAUGCAGUGAGGAGGUGGCUGCGGACCGGCAGAGCCCCCCGUGCGGCGCGGGGAGGGUGUGAUGGAGCCUGGCGGAAGAAAAGGGGUGAAGUGAAAAAGAUUGUGCAUCUUUAAAAAUCCAGGAGAAAGCCAUGUGACGUGGCAGAGGUCUUCUCAAAGACCUGAGGAGCAGCAGUGGAUUUACUGUUGAGAAUGGGACUGAGCUCUGGAAAACUUGCUUCAAAUGUUGAAGAUCACGCCGUGAGUUUCGGAAUUUCUAGCAAACCUGGCUGCAGCGAAAGAAAUGGUUGGCGGUGUCUGCGUUCGGAGAUUCCUAAAACUUCAUCUGUUCUCACGCGGGGGUUCAAGCACACCCGCAGCCCAGAGUCCAUGCGAGGUGGCUUGUGCUUCUGAAUGUUUGCUGCAACCUGGGCAUUCAAAUGUCAGUUCGGGGAAAAAAAAACCAAAAAAAACCAACAACAACAACAAAAAAAAACCCC
Chroicocephalus ridibundus (black-headed gull) is the source of this 773-nucleotide long non-coding RNA. RefSeq lists it as uncharacterized. NCBI's taxonomy places the organism in Eukaryota, Metazoa, Chordata, Aves, Charadriiformes, Laridae. The transcript is spliced from 5 exons. The record is from RefSeq and is a predicted model, not a curated record.